Gasterosteus aculeatus aculeatus (three-spined stickleback) is the source of this 6093-nucleotide long non-coding RNA. NCBI's taxonomy places the organism in Eukaryota, Metazoa, Chordata, Actinopteri, Perciformes, Gasterosteidae. The record is from Ensembl.
GAUCUAAUUGUCUGCUGACCUGCGCCCGGCGGGCUGAGGCCCGCGUUGGGAGGGCUCUUUGUAAAAGUUAUAAUUGGGGGUCAGUGAUGCGUUCACAGGCCGGGCGCGCAAUCAGCGCGUCCUCGUCCGACCCGGAGACCCGCGCGGGCGCAGGCAGACGCGCGUUUAUCAAAAACAGACAGAGAAGUGACCGCCGGCCGCUCGCACCCCCACCGCUGCGCUUUAAUCGGUGGUGCAGGAAGGAAAGGAAGCUCUAAAGAACAAUAUAAUCUCAUUAGAUGAGCCAAGCGCCGCUAUUUAAAAGCAGUCAGUCACUGAUGCUCUUAGAUGAUCAGACACAUGGAGUUCUUUUUUUUUUUUUUUGUUGCAAUUUCAACUAACAGAUGUUUUUAGUUGUUGAGACACAAGGUCAAAGAACAGCAGGAUUACCUGCGCUGCCUUUGUCAUCAGGCUGGAGGACACUUACCGCCCGCCGCGUUGAGCUCUCAGACCGGCGCCGGUGCCAAGGUUGGAGACGGUUACGUCAGCGUGUACCGUUCGUACAGGAGUGAAAUAGAUGGCGUUUUGGACACCGAUGGAUGUAAACUGUCCAACGUGGUUCUGAGCUGGUAAGGAGAGCGUCCCCCUGCUCUGGUUUCAGCACCAUGGACAGAGCGCGAGGGCCCCGAGCUCACUGAGGUCACUGAGGUCACUGCCACUAAACGCCUCCGCGAGCCGACAAUCGACGCGACGCGUCCGCUCACCUUUGGAUUCAGAGUCUAACGGCGGCGUCCCGGUGUGGGGACAAGUACUCGGGUGGGAACGCCCAGCUUAACGCCGCUGCCUCGUGGGGGGGCGGGUGGAGCCUUUCCAGGCGGAAAUGCCUCUGACAUUUGAAAACAGCUUGAAAUAGUGUUGUGGUAUAAAUCACUAGAACAGCAGACCAACACAAAUCUCUCUUACGACAACAAUUUGAGCACGUGCACUUCUGUAGAUAUCGUUCCUCUUUGUUUAAACUGUCUUCUUGGUCUCUGUGUGAAGCACUAUCGGAGUGAAGUGCAUCUUAUCUCAUCAUCUCAAACUGAAGCGAAAGGUUACGCAGGAAUGAGCACUGGUAUUACGACGCCUUCAUGUUGACACUCCGGUACCCGCCUGUAGCGCUCGCGCUAAUCUUUGUCAGCUGGCGGGUCGAGCGCACUGGAUAAGUCACAUUAAGGCUACGAUGAAUCAAUAAAAAUCCAUUUGAAGAAGUUCCCUCUUUGUCGCUGAAGUUUUCCAGCUGCAGGCGUUCAGAGAGGCUUUGUUUUCUUCCCUCUCUGGAUUAACUCAAACAAUAAGAUUAUUUCCGCCCAAGGACGAAUGCGUGUGCACACAAAUGUUUGGGUAAGAGCGCGCUUUAAAUAGACAAACGGGAGAAGACAUUUACAGUUAAACCUUUUGCAUUUCAAACGCGUAAACACGGGCAGGUAGAAGCCCGCGGCGGCGUGCUGCGUUUCUCACAGCCACGGACUGAACCAACGGCCCCCUGGGGAGACGGAGGGAAACGGCUCCACCAUCUUGGUGUUGAUAUCCAUGCUUUGUGUGCCUGGUGAAUGUUAUUCUAUUUCUUGGAUUUGGGUUUCCUAAAAUGGCUUCUGAAGUGCUGUCCUCUGUGUAGCUAUUUUUGCAUUUGUAUUUAGACAGAUACAGAAAUAGACCCAAUGAGACCAACGGCGUCUCUUAGAAGGACAGUGACAAAAGAACAAAAAUAUCCCUGUGGCAAAACUGUAUGCUAGACAAAACAACAAAAAACAGUAGAAAAUGUACCAAACGUCAGCAGAACCUGCAGAGAGGGAAGCUGGAAACAGCCUACAGCACCUAUAUGUGUAAAACCAUAUAGGUUUAUGGUAUAAAACUGUACAUAUGGUAUAAAUAUAUAGAAUUCUUAACUGGAAAGACGGAUGUUUGGAUCGGUGGACACAUUUGUUCUUUCUUUUUGCAGCAUCUCUAACUGAAAGAAGCACGACGAUAACUUUCCGCUGAGCAUUAUUCACUCAAACAAGGAACCGCCGUCAGCUCCCUGUCAACUUCACUCCCAGUGUUGGUUCUUUAUCCGACCGCGGCGCUCUGGUUCUUUAUCCAGCCCUUUAUCCAGCCACGGCGCUCUGGUUCUUUAUCCAAACCGCGGCGCUCUGGUUCUUUAUCCAACCGCGGCGCUCUGGUUCUUUAUCCAACCGCGGCGCUCUGGUUCUUUAUCCAAACCGUGGCGCUCUGGUUCUUUAUCCAAACCGUGGCGCUCUGGUUCUUUAUCCAAACCGCGGCGCUCUGGUUCUUUAUCCAAACCGCGGCGCUCUGGUUCUUCAUCCAAACCGCCGCGCUCUGGUUCUUUAUCCAAACCGCGGCGCUCUGGUUCUUUAUCCAACCGCGGCGCUCUGGUUUUUUAUCCAACCGCGGCGCUCUGGUUUUUUAUCCAACCGCGGCGCUCUGGUUCUUUAUCCGACCGCGGCGCUCUGGUUCUUUAUCCAAACCGCGGCGCUCUGGUUCUUUAUCCGACCGCGGCGCUCUGGUUCUUCAUCCAAACCGCGGCGCUCUGGUUCUUUAUCCGACCGCGGCGCUCUGGUUCUUUAUCCAAACCGCGGCGCUCUGGUUCUUUAUCCGACCGCGGCGCUCUGGUUCUUUAUCCAAAACCGCGGCGCUCUGGUUCUUUAUCCAAACCGCGGCGCUCUGGUUCUUUAUCCAACCGCGGCGCUCUGGUUUUUUAUCCAAACCGCAGCGCUCUGGUUCUUUAUCCGACCGCGGCGCUCUGGUUCUUUAUCCGACCGCGGCGCUCUGGUUCUUUAUCCAAAACCGCGGCGCUCUGGUUCUUUAUCCAAACCGCGGCGCUCUGGUUCUUUAUCCGACCGCGGCGCUCUGGCAGAGGGAACACGGGUUACGUUCCAACGUCGGAGACAUCAUAAGCAAUCAGCGGUAAAGAUAUCAAGUGUCAAACCCACUGUGCUCUAACAAGAGCCAGUUUUUAAGGGGUCAGAGAGAUAAUAUCACACACGGCUCUUUAUAAAGUCUGUGGAUUUAGACGCGGAAUCAAAUCAAGUUAAGAGAAAUCGUCCUCUCGCCAGUGUCCCUCCUCCCUGCACAGCGUUGACUUUGUUUCUCCUUCAAGUCCCUCUCUGUCCCAGUCCCUCUCUGUCCCAGUCCUCUCUAGUCCUCUCUCUGUCCCAUCCUCUCUCUGUCCCAGUCCCUCUCUGUCCCAGUCCCUCGUGGGUGAUGGUUCAACGAGAGCUCUGGAGAACUGGAUGUCUUGUUGACGGCCGGUUGUUGGUCAGGAUCGGUGUCAUCCUGUAGGCCCCGCCUCCCCUCGCUUCCUGGCGUGGGCGGGGCUCAGCGGGCUGUCAGCCACGCCCUCUAGUGGGCUCACGCCUCAGGACCAGGAGGAUCUCACUUAUGUGCCUCUGGAUCUAAAAUCUACCCAGGAUUCUGAAUUAAUACCAAAUACCACGUGAUGCGAUGAGCUGUGCACUAAAUGCUGGACUUGGGGAUCGUUACACCUGCGUACCGACGGCUGGAUGAGCAUGCAGAUGUUUAACGACUGUGCCUCAAAGAGACGCGUUGGUCUAAUUUAGUUUGAGUCUAAUUAGUCCAUUUUCAUGGAAAUUCAUUUUGGGACCCCACCAGCAUCCGUCCUCAUAUCGAACAUUAUGUUCUGCACGGCUGAAGGAACACUGUAUCGUGCUUUGUGCUCACAUGCACAUUUGUGUCCUGGAUAUUUAAAACGCUUCUCUAAUCUGCCGGAGGAACCAGGAACCAGACGGCUGUGACAUUUCUCCUUUUACCCUUGAUGGGACUAAAGGUUCUUCUCCAGCGGCGCACCGACCCGAUGGAAGCGAACCUUCAGCAGCCCGAGGAACGCUUCGGGUUCCAUGUUUGAACUGUUUCUUAUUGCUCCAAUGAGGAAGUCUCACACACUCCUGUUCAUUAUUAUGUCUUCAUUGUCAUAAUAUCCAAUUUAGAAUGUUUUGUAAGUAAAAUAUAAGACUCUUCAGCCUUUUGUCUUAUAUUUCCUUUCAGAAACUAAUUUAGUAAUUUAACUGGAGUGUAAUCAUCUUUUUCCCAUCAUACCUUUCACCGCACUCAGGUGCUCAUUCUAAAAUCAAUGUAUUAUCAUACAGCCGUGCCUGCAAAAAGUCGUUGCCUCAAAAGGGUGAAAGGAUUUUCUCCUGCAGUCUUUGAAAUUAUGAAAAAAAUCAUCAAGCUUUGUGGAGAUAAACACGCCCCCUCACACACACACACACACACACACGCUGUCACUCUGGGACGAUAUCGACUUUGUUCGGGAUGAAUUGGUCGCCAAGGAAUCCAGGAAGUGAGUUAGUAUUCUGCGUCACGGCCCGAGUGCUCUCUGGUUCCUCCUCCAGAUUUCAUCAUGUUUCGCUCGAUCAACGAGGGAGACCAAAAGGACGCAACCGCAGCGCAUUCUGAGGACCAAUUAUUCUCUGCAGAUGUUUCGCCGCGAACCAAUUUGAUGGAAAAGCGUCGACGGUUCCCCGCUGCUCCGUGAGUGCGCGUACGAGUGUUUCUACACGAGCGUGUUUGUCCCUACCGGCGUUCAUUGGGAGAACAUCACUGCGGGGGGGGGGGGGGGGAGCUCAUUGUUAGAAGCUGUGAGAAUAAAGAGACAACAGAGAAGAGCCAGUGAGUCAUCUCGGUUGAGAAGUGAUGGAGGAGCACACUGGAGCACGAGCUCGGUCCCCCGGUACGAACCGCCGAGCCGUCAGCGAACAAUCCCAGAGCUCGUUGACUCUGAAAGGAUUCGCCGCUCGGCCGCUCGGUCCGAACGCGGAGAGAAAGAUGCUUUUCGUGCAUCGGUGUGCAACAACGUGCAUCGGCUGAAAGGAAGGAAACCGCUGCAUCACAGCGCGCGAGCGUGUGACUGAGAGGGCUCGACUGAAGAGCUUUUCUUUGCACUUCUCGGGAGGAUUCUCUUCAGAGAAGAAAUGCAUUUAGAGUUUAGAGUUUAUUUGUGUAAAUCGAUGAAACGCUGAACGUCUCAAUCGAGUUUACAGGCCGCAGCAAAUGACUUCUUUUGAUGUGUAUUGAUCUAUUUAUCAUUUUUUCACUUAAAGUAAUAAAAUGUUGAAGCUCUCUGCUGAACAUCGACUACAAAUCAACUCUGACAUCCCGUAACACUGACUAUGAUGGAUGUUUGUGUUGCAAAACAAGCUCUGCCUGCAGCAACUAAAGCUUGAUUAAUGUUAUUUAUGGUCAAUUUGAGGCAAAUCAAAGUACUUUGAUCGGUUUACUAAAGGGUUUGGUUAAGAUCAACUCAUUGGAGCAAACGUAGAGACUCGCAUCUGAAAUGAACCCACAGAAAAAUACAUCUCGGCACAAAGUGAUCAGAUUCCUUCCCAACAAAAGGAGAACAGAGCUGAAAGAAAAGUGGUUUCACAGCCACAGAAGUAACGUUAGAACCAAUCCUCCCUCUUCAGAAGAUGAGAGGAAUGUCAUAUUACGGUGUUCUGUCACCUCGCACAUGAAUGAACCCCAAUUUAGAGCUGCGGGAACGUUCGCCUCAUUUUUCUAAUAUUGAAUUGUUUAUUUAUCCAGUUAUCAUUUAGCUCCCCUGCUGUGGUGCAGCUCUUACAGUCUCUUAUAGCCUCGAUGAGGCUCCUCAUGCUCCUCAUGUUGCCUCCAGCCUUCACAUCUCAGUAUCUUCAUCUGGUUUCCCUUCAUUUCACUUCCCACAACUCAGCACCCUUCACUUGCUGCUGAUUUGGACGUCUUGUCGCGUUCGUCUCCGAUGCUUUUACCCUUUUGAAACCGCCAGGAUGAAAAUCAGAGGAUGUAAAAGGGAUUUCACAUUUUUGGAAAUCGGCCCUCUGAACCACGCCGGGUGAGAUGGGGGAGAUAGCGAAGGGAAGGGGGGUCGGGGGGGCAAAGGGGGAUGAGAAACCGAGAGAGAGCUCGGUGCACUGGUUUAUUUACCUCGGGGGACGAGCAGCGAGGCCUCUGGGAUGGAACCAACCGGAGCGACAUGCGACUGAUUUCCCCUAAUUGGUUUUGACUCGCUCUCCUUGCGCCGCCGCCGCCGCUCUGUUUCCGGGCCGACGGCCGUCUCUCGCCCAUCUGAGGUGCUCCUUC